This 1343-nucleotide ribosomal RNA is filed under the name uncultured bacterium. RNAcentral's name for it is "16S ribosomal RNA". It matches the Rfam family "Bacterial small subunit ribosomal RNA", at positions 28 to 1378 of the family's 1533-position model. The record is from RNAcentral.
GACGAACGCUGGCGGCGUGCUUAACACAUGCAAGUCGAACGGAAAGGCCCUGCUUUUGUGGGGUGCUCGAGUGGCGAACGGGUGAGUAACACGUGAGUAACCUGCCCUUGACUUUGGGAUAACUUCAGGAAACUGGGGCUAAUACCGGAUAGGAGCUCCUGCUGCAUGGUGGGGGUUGGAAAGUUUCGGCGGUUGGGGAUGGACUCGCGGCUUAUCAGCUUGUUGGUGGGGUAGUGGCUUACCAAGGCUUUGACGGGUAGCCGGCCUGAGAGGGUGACCGGCCACAUUGGGACUGAGAUACGGCCCAGACUCCUACGGGAGGCAGCAGUGGGGAAUAUUGCACAAUGGGCGGAAGCCUGAUGCAGCAACGCCGCGUGCGGGAUGACGGCCUUCGGGUUGUAAACCGCUUUCGCCUGUGACGAAGCGUGAGUGACGGUAAUGGAUAAAGAAGCACCGGCUAACUACGUGCCAGCAGCCGCGGUGAUACGUAGGGUGCGAGCGUUGUCCGGAUUUAUUGGGCGUAAAGAGCUCGUAGGUGGUUGAUCGCGUCGGAAGUGUAAUCUUGGGGCUUAACCCUGAGCGUGCUUUCGAUACGGGUUGACUUGAGGAAGGUAGGGGAGAAUGGAAUUCCUGGUGGAGCGGUGGAAUGCGCAGAUAUCAGGAGGAACACCAGUGGCGAAGGCGGUUCUCUGGGCCUUUCCUGACGCUGAGGAGCGAAAGCGUGGGGAGCGAACAGGCUUAGAUACCCUGGUAGUCCACGCUGUAAACGGUGGGUACUAGGUGUGGGGUCCAUUCCACGGGUUCCGUGCCGUAGCUAACGCUUUAAGUACCCCGCCUGGGGAGUACGGCCGCAAGGCUAAAACUCAAAGGAAUUGACGGGGCCCCGCACAAGCGGCGGAGCAUGCGGAUUAAUUCGAUGCAACGCGUAGAACCUUACCUGGGUUUGACAUGGAUCGGGAGUGCUCAGAGAUGGGUGUGCCUCUUUUGGGGUCGGUUCACAGGUGGUGCAUGGCUGUCGCCAGCUCGUGUCGUGAGAUGUUGGGUUAAGUCCCGCAACGAGCGCAACCCUUGUUCACUGUUGCCAGCACGUUAUGGUGGGGACUCAGUGGAGACCGCCGGGGUCAACUCGGAGGAAGGUGGGGAUGACGUCAAGUCAUCAUGCCCCUUAUGUCCAGGGCUUCACGCAUGCUACAAUGGCUGGUACAGAGAGUGGCGAGCCUGUGAGGGUGAGCGAAUCUCGGAAAGUCGGUCUCAGUUCGGAUUGGGGUCUGCAACUCGACCUCAUGAAGUCGGAGUCGCUAGUAAUCGCAGAUCAGCAACGCUGCGGUGAAUACGUUCCCGGG